UUUUUGGGGUACUAGCAGAAGAUG
This 24-nucleotide small RNA is filed under the name Arabidopsis thaliana (thale cress). Its description in RNAcentral is "ATSL079750". The record is from RNAcentral. Lineage: Eukaryota; Viridiplantae; Streptophyta; Magnoliopsida; Brassicales; Brassicaceae.